RNAcentral lists this microRNA precursor (94 nucleotides) under Pteropus vampyrus (large flying fox). RNAcentral's name for it is "miRNA (ENSPVAG00000025921.1)". The stretch from base 20 to 88 matches the Rfam family "mir-29 microRNA precursor family". Rfam says of the family: This family represents the microRNA (miRNA) precursors mir-29. Animal miRNAs are transcribed as ~70nt precursors and subsequently processed by the Dicer enzyme to give a ~22nt product. The record is from RNAcentral. Lineage: Eukaryota; Metazoa; Chordata; Mammalia; Chiroptera; Pteropodidae.
CUCCUGUGACCCCCUUAGAGGAUGACUGAUUUCUUUUGGUGAUUCAGAGUCAAUACAAUUUUCUAGCACCAUCUGAAAUCGGUUAUAAUGACUG